AGCUAACCAAAGGACAAAAUUCAACAUUUUUUUAAUAAUUAUUGAUCUAGAGAGUCCACAGAAUAUUACUGCAGUGGUUUGGUUCCGAUCGGGCAAAAAACCUAGGACUAGUUCGCAAAAGUAGUUUUUUAACAUAUUUGUGAAUAACAAUUGAACGAUUUGAUUGACAGCAAUGGUUCUUGAGGCAAAGUUGUGCAUUACGAGGAGAUCUAUCAAAUGAUAUGCAUAUUGUGUUGAUAUGUGAAACACCACGUGAUUACAGAGCCAUAAAACUCGUUAGCGCCAACUAGUGGCCGAUUUCUUUCAAAAUUCUUACAGACCUUAAGGUUCAUGAGUCGAACGUACCCAGCGAGUUUCGUUCCGAACAACAUCCGUUAACCCUUUCAAAUAGGUGCUUAAAAUUGUUUGGCCAAUGGCAGCCAUGUUUUUUGAGAUAUGCAAAUGUCCUCAUAGGUACUUGUGCCCCUUCAGACCAAGACACUGCAUACCAAUUUUCAAGUCGAUCGAGCCAACGGUUGCCUAGUUAUAGCCAUUUAUGUGUUUUUUAAAUCUUAUUGCGCCCCCAAGUGGCAGAGAUGCGCAAUUUUUUUUUAUUUGACCAAAGAUUGAGCUCAUACAUAUGUGUACCAAGUUUGGUCAAGAUAUCUCAUUCCGUUCAAGAGUUAUAGUCAAAAUAACAUUUGGCUAACGUUAGCAUAGACGCUUUUUGGCGUACUGUUUCGCGUAAGAAUCGAAAUUUCAACUUUUUUUUGAUAAUUAUUUAUAUUGAGUGUCCAGGGAAUAUUUCUGCAGUGGUUUCGUUCCGAUUGGUUGAAAAUCCUAGGACUAGUUCGCAAAAGUAGGUUUCGGAUAUAGCUCGAUUUUGCGAGAAAACGGUGCGUCGUAGAGCAAAAAAAGGCGCUGUGCACUUUUGUUUGGGCUAACCCAAGGAUUGCAAUGAUGCCAUGUUUUUGAGUCUACGGCUAACGGUUUACGACCUGCGGCCAAAAAUGUCAAAAAUUUUAGUUUUUUGCGCUGUAGCGCCCCCGUUAGGCCGAUUGGGCCGGUUCUUUGUAUCUGAGUAGCGAGCAAGACUACUACCAUCUGACCAAGUUUCAGCUCUCUAGGCCUUACGGUUUGGGCUGCACGUUCAGUUUUAAGGCGGAAAAAUAAUAAUAAUAAUAAAAAUCUUAACAAUUACAAUAGGGUUUCAGCACUGCGUGCUUGAACCCCUAAUAAUAAUAAUAAUAAUAAAAAUCCUAACAAAUACAAUAGGGUUUCAGCACUGCGUGCUUGAACCCCUAAUUAAAGCUGCAAGCAGCAUUUACCGGGGUUCAAGCACAUUAAGGCCUCUGAGGUGGUCUGAGCCAACCUGGAUGCAUGGAUGACAGUUAAACACAUCCAAAAUGGAGAACAGGCUAACAGACAGACACACACACUGAAAGUAAAUGAUUAGACUAAUAUAUGUAUACUCUAUAAGCAUAUGCACACACACACACACAGAAAGAAACACAUAUACAUGCACAAACAUUUUGUUGCAGAUAUAGGUAUUUGAAAUAAGUGAUAGGUGAUAAUAAACUUAUUGCAAGUCUUCUCUUUUUAAGAGUUUAGAUGUCAUUUUCAGGUUAAACUGUAAUCACAAUGUGGCAAAAUAGUAAAAACUGAUAUAUCUGUAAGAACAAAAUGGAAAACAUUGACUCAAUGAGAUUUAAAAUGUUAUAACAGUUACAUUUUUAAUGUUUUGGGAUGAAUUCAUGAGUCAUUUCAACAGUACUGUUCAACUUAACUGAAUGAGCCCAUUAGUGGUCUUCCACUGCCAUCUAGAGGUUAUAAAUUGCAUUUACUCAAGCAACACUGUUUUUAAACAUAACUGUUAUAGUGUUUUUUUUUUUUUUUGCCCAAUCUCUCUUAAAUUUUGCAUGCUUGUUUAGAAUGAAAUUAUGCAUUGUUUUACACAGUUUUGAUAAUGUGUGGGCUUUCUGUUUGUAUUAAUAGGCCUUUGUGUACACUAUGAAAAGAACAUAUUAUAAAAUUACUGGUUUAUAGUUGUCCAAAUGCAAUUGUUCAACAUGUUUUUGAUAAUUAUUGACCUUCAGAGUCUACAGAAUUGUACUUCAGUGGUUUUAUUGAUUUUCAUCUUAAACCGUAUCACAAGUAUGCCAAAGUAACUUUUUAAAAUAAUCUUGAAUAUUUAAUUAACAGCUUUAUUGACAACAUUGGUCCCAGAGGCAAAGUUGUUCAGAAUGAGGAGAUCUAUCAUAUGAUAUGAAGAUUUAGUGUUUUUGAGUGAAUAUAUGAGCAUUUUCAAACAAUUUGGG
Molecule: long non-coding RNA, 2297 nt
Organism: Carassius gibelio (silver crucian carp)
Lineage: Eukaryota; Metazoa; Chordata; Actinopteri; Cypriniformes; Cyprinidae
Exons: 3
Source: RefSeq, a predicted model, not a curated record